Long non-coding RNA from Sphaeramia orbicularis (orbiculate cardinalfish), 315 nucleotides. RefSeq lists it as uncharacterized. NCBI's taxonomy places the organism in Eukaryota, Metazoa, Chordata, Actinopteri, Kurtiformes, Apogonidae. The transcript is spliced from 2 exons. The record is from RefSeq and is a predicted model, not a curated record.
UAUUUUGCUGUGUUGUUUCUAUACUACAAAAGUACUAUUGUGAUAUUACAGGUCAUACAUGUAGUUUUUUUUAAUUGAUAACGGUUAUUUCAAGCAUCCUAAAAACAAUUUGAACUGUCUGAAACAGGCAGAUGUUAUUUUUUUUAUUGUGAAUCCACAAAAAUAAUGUUGUGAUGAUUCAGAGACUGAACACUAUGUAUUCUUGUUGCAAAAGAAUACGAACAGUUAAGCAGAAUCUGAAACUGUAAUGUACAGUGGCCCAGAGGUGACACAGCCCAAAAAAUUAUCCACUAUAAGAAAAAAAAGAGAACAGCC